Molecule: transfer RNA, 72 nt
Filed under: Stegodyphus mimosarum
Lineage: Eukaryota; Metazoa; Arthropoda; Arachnida; Araneae; Eresidae
Rfam family: tRNA
About the family: Transfer RNA (tRNA) molecules are approximately 80 nucleotides in length. Their secondary structure includes four short double-helical elements and three loops (D, anti-codon, and T loops). Further hydrogen bonds mediate the characteristic L-shaped molecular structure. tRNAs have two regions of fundamental functional importance: the anti-codon, which is responsible for specific mRNA codon recognition, and the 3' end, to which the tRNAs corresponding amino acid is attached (by aminoacyl-tRNA synthetases). tRNAs cope with the degeneracy of the genetic code in two manners: having more than one tRNA (with a specific anti-codon) for a particular amino acid; and 'wobble' base-pairing, i.e. permitting non-standard base-pairing at the 3rd anti-codon position.
Source: Rfam by way of RNAcentral
GCCUUCGUGGUGUAGCGGUCAGCACGCUCGACGCGUAACCGAGAGUUCGUGGUUCGAUUCCCGGCAAAGGCA